AUAAAUUUGGUGGCAAAUGGUCCCUGAAAGGUAUUCAUUUGAUCACAUCCUUUUUUACAGGAUUCUUACACCACUUAGCAAAGCUGGUAAAGUUAUUUUUUAGCCAUCAGAGAACAGGAAGGAGAGAAAUCUGCUAAGCAACCUCUGCUAUGCUGCAUGCCAGGCUACAAAAUAGCUGUUCAUUAGGGGCCAUGGAGAACACUUAAAUUGCAGAUUUUCUAAUAGGCUUUCAAUGGAGGAAAAUUGUUGUGGGUGUUCCUUUGAAGGUGUCUUUCUCUAGACCAAAUCUUUCCGUGUUUAUUCAUAUGUAUCUCAGAGAGGUUGACGUAUCAGAAAUGGCUUCGUUUAAGAGGGAAGACACAUCCUAUGGGAAGAGGGUCUGCACUGGAGUGAAAGAUGAAAACCCAAGACUGAAACCCAAUAAAUGAAAAUUUCUCUUGUAGCUCUCAGAGAGAAAAAUAUAGAGCACCAUCACUGCCAGCACGUGGAAUACAACCUGUCCCACACCAUUUAUUGGGAAAUCCCCACAGGAAAGGCUCAACAAACACGUCUCUGUUGUCAGUCAUGAGGAAUCCUGAUGAGAAUUGUCCAAGUGUAAAGACAAAACGAAGGAAGGAAGAUGUAAGUCAGUCUUUAGGUCUGAAACCAU
This 649-nucleotide long non-coding RNA is filed under the name Zonotrichia albicollis (white-throated sparrow). Its description in RNAcentral is "lncRNA (ENSZALG00000000772.1)". Lineage: Eukaryota; Metazoa; Chordata; Aves; Passeriformes; Passerellidae. The record is from RNAcentral.